UUUAGGUUUAGGCAAUAAAAAAAACAGGUUUAGGCAAAAAAAACUACAACUUCACUUCUUUAGAUUUAUGCAAGGAAAAUGCAACUUCUUUAGGUUUAUGCAACAAAACUACAACUUCUUUAGGUUUAGGCCACAGAACUACAACUUGUUAAUGUUUAGGCAAAAUAAAAUACAAUUUGUUUAGGUUUAGGCUUUAAAACUUUGACUUCUUAGCAAAACUACAAAUUCUUUAGGUUUAGGCAAACAAACAGGUUUAGGCAACAAAAGUACAACUUUGUUAAGUUUAGGCAAAAAAGUUUUGGUUUCACACAGGAUGUGAACUCCGGUCUCCUGGGUGAAAUUCUAUUCUAUACCUAGCUUUCUCGGUGAUCUACCAUGUGAAUAGAUUUGGGGGCAGUACCAUCCCCGUUGAGAAACACUACAAUAUUAGGCUAUGUGCUAGUUGUGCUUUGUUUAUUCAGGUGGUCAUUUCUGAUAUAGUCUCUCAGGAAUCAUGAAUCUGGUGAUUAGCAGAUAAAAUAAAUAAUAAAAUUGGGUGAAAUUGGUUGGAAAUUGAAACUUUUUCAGACUACUGAUUACAUAUGCUGUACCUGAUGAUCCAACAGUAUUUUAUAUUUUGUACCUGCUAUAUAUUGAAACAGUGUGCUACAGUUACUGUUGUUCAAGUAAAACCGCAAUAAAUAACAAAAAAUAAUGAAAGUUGUCAUUAGUCUCCUUUUACUUCAUUCCUUCUAGUCCAUACACUAGACUGUGAUUCCUGCAGUAUUAUACCAUAUUAUGGGAUACAGUGGUAAUGCAAUAACAUAUUUUCAAGAAACCCCCAAAACUAAACUGAGGUGACAAAAAUUUGGUGACAAAUAAAAAUUAAAUUUAUUGAAGAAUAAUUUCACCUCUGUCCACCAGAGAACGUGGCAGAGUGCAAUUAGAGGUGCUUGUCAAUGGAAAUUAAAUAUAUAUUACAGCUAUGUUAAUUCAACUUCAGGUGCACCAUUUGAGUCUGGGCUGGGAAUUACACAUUAAAUCAAUGUUUGUUUUGUAAUGAUGAAAUUGUGAAUUCUUUUUUUAUGCUCUAAAGUGUUUCGGUUCUUCACAUACUCUAUUUCAGAGUGUUUUUUGUGUCUCUUAUUAAGCUUUGAAACAAUUCAGUUAUGACUGUCAUUUUGUAUGCUUUCUUUAUUG
Sebastes umbrosus (honeycomb rockfish) is the source of this 1179-nucleotide long non-coding RNA. RefSeq lists it as uncharacterized. NCBI's taxonomy places the organism in Eukaryota, Metazoa, Chordata, Actinopteri, Perciformes, Sebastidae. The record is from RefSeq and is a predicted model, not a curated record. The transcript has 3 exons.